RNAcentral lists this ribosomal RNA (2243 nucleotides) under human gut metagenome. RNAcentral describes it as "bacterial LSU rRNA". It matches the Rfam family "Bacterial large subunit ribosomal RNA", at positions 14 to 2251 of the family's 2925-position model. The record is from RNAcentral.
AGGGCAACAGGUGAAUGCCUUGGCGCUGAGAGGCGAUGAAAGACGCGGUAAGCUGCGAUAAGCAUCGGGGAGGAGCUAAACAUCCUACGAUCCGAUGAUUUCUGAAUGGGGAAACCCGAUGGGAGUCAUGUCCCAUCAUCCUGAGCUGAAUAUAUAGGCUCAGAGAAGCCAACCCGGGGAAGUGAAACAUCUCAGUACCCGGAGGAAGAGAAAUCAAACGAGACUCCCAAAGUAGCGGCGAGCGAAAUGGGAAGAGCCCAAACCGAGUGGUUUCGACCAUUCGGGGUUGUAGGGCCGGCAUACGCGAUUCUGGAGUAGGCAGAGGAAGUGAGCUGGAAAGCUCCGCCACAGCGGGUGAUAGCCCCGUACUCGAAACCGAAAAGGACGCAGCCGGUACCUGAGUACUGCGAGGCACGUGGAACCUCGUGGGAAUCUAGGGGGACCAUCCUCUAAGGCUAAGUACUCCUCAGCGACCGAUAGUGAACUAGUACCGUGAGGGAAAGGUGAAAAGAACCCCUGUUAGGGGAGUGAAAUAGAAUCUGAAACCUGUUGCCUACAAGCUGCGAGAGCUACUUCGGUAGUGAUCGCGUGCCUUUUGUAUAAUGAGUCAGCGAGUUACUCUACCGUGCGAGGUUAAGCGAAAGCGUAGCCGUAGUGAAAGCGAGGCUUAAUAGGCCGACUAGUACGUUGGAGUAGACCCGAAACCGGGUGAUCUAUCCAUGAGCAGGUUGAAGCAAGGGUAAAGCCUUGUGGAGGACCGAACCGUCAACGGCUGAAAACGUUCCGGAUGACUUGUGGAUAGGGGUGAAAGGUCAAUCAAACCCGGUGAUAGCUGGUUCUCCCCGAAAUAUAUUGAGGUAUAGCCUCGGGAAUUGAUUAGCGGAGGUAAAGCACUGACAGAGCUAGGGGUCCUACCAGAUUACCAAACUCUAUCAAACUCAGAAUGCCGCUUAAUUGUAUCCCGGGAGUCAGACGGCGGGUGCGAAGGUUCGUCGUCAAAAGGGAAACAGCCCAGACCAACAGCUAAGGUCUCCAAAUCCAUGCUCAGUGGUGAAGGUAGUGGAACCGUUUAGACAGCCAGGACGUUGGCUUAGAAGCAGCCAUCGUUUAAAGAAAGCGUAAUAGCUCACUGGUCUAAUGGCUCUGCGCCGAAAAUGUAACGGGGCUAAGCAUGGUACCGAAGCUUUGGCAAUCCCCUUUGGGGAUUGGGUAGGGGAGCGUUCGCUGCGGGCUGAAGGUGUAUCGGAAGGUAUGCUGGACUGCAGUGAAGUGAUUAUGCUGACAUGAGUAACGAUAAAAUAUGUGAAAAACAUAUUCGCCGAAAACCCGAGGUUUCCUGGGUAAAGGUAAUCUUCCCAGGGUUAGUCGGAUCCUAAGGUGAGGGUGAAAGCCGUAACCGAUGGAAAACAGGUUAAUAUUCCUGUACUUGUUGUGUAGCGCGAUGGAGGGACGCAGGAAGAUAGGCGGGCCGGGUGUUGGAUAUCCCGGUGCAAGCGUGUAGGAAUAUCCGGUAGGCAAAUCCGCCGGACGAAUCUGAGACGCGAGUCCGUGGGCGCAAGCCCUGAAGCCGUUGAGUCUAUGCUGCCUAGAAAAGCUCCUAAGUUUAUCCACAGCAAUCCGUACCGCAAACCAACUCAGGUGGGUGGGAUGAACAAUCCAAGGCGCUCGAGAGAACUCUGGCCAAGGAACUCGGCAAAAUAACCCCGUAACUUCGGAAGAAGGGGUGCUCUCUAGGGUGACAUGUUUAACAUAUGAAGCCCCGGGGAGCCGCAGUGAAUUGGUGGGGGCGACUGUUUACUAAAAACAUAGGUCUGUGCGAAGUCCUAAAGACGACGUAUACGGACUGACGCCUGCCCGGUGCUGGAAGGUUAAAAGGAGGGGUCAGCGCAAGCAAAGCUCCGAAUUGAAGCCCCAGUAAACGGCGGCCGUAACUAUAACGGUCCUAAGGUAGCGAAAUUCCUUGUCGGGUAAGUUCCGACCUGCACGAAUGGCGUAACGAUCUCCACACUGUCUCGGCCAGAGACUCGGUGAAAUUGCAGUCGCGGUGAAAAUUCCGUGUACCCGCAGAAAGACGGAAAGACCCUGUGCACCUUUACUAUAGCUUGACAUUGGAUUUUGGGCCUGCAUGUGUAGGAUAGGUGGGAGGCUGUGAACCCUGUACGCCAGUAUGGGGGGAGCCAUCCUUGAAAUACCACCCUUGCAUGUUUAAGAUCCUAACUUCUUCCGGUUAUCCCGGAGAAAGA